Molecule: long non-coding RNA, 1542 nt
Organism: Carassius auratus (goldfish)
Lineage: Eukaryota; Metazoa; Chordata; Actinopteri; Cypriniformes; Cyprinidae
Exons: 5
Source: RefSeq, a predicted model, not a curated record
GCUGACCCAGACAGCAAGCCAACAUUGAAUAAACAUUGUUUUUCCAUCUGAAUCAUCAUUAUGGUUGAUAUUGAAAUUUCAAUGCAAAAUAAAUGUUGAAUCACCAUUAUCAUAUCGAUGAAAACCUGAUAUUAUUAAUGUUGAUGGCAACAAUAUUGGAACAACAUUGAUCCAUAGUUAUCUUUAUGAUUGAUUAAGCAUUGAUAUUUGGUUACCGGGUGAUCCCUGAAUGUGUUGAAAAGUAAUUGAUUUAUAGUGGACAGAGAAACGAUGCGGUUGUUGAAAAGUCAUCGAAAUAUAGUUGACCGGGAAAUAUGAUAGAAAAUGCAUCGAAAUAUAGUUGACCGGGAAAUAUGAUAGAAAAUGCAUCGAAAUAUAGUUGACCGGGAAAUAUGAUUGAAAAUCCAUCGAUUUUUGGUUGACCGGGAGAUCAACGGGUGGUAUACCCAACGUACUGCACCGGACACAGCUCAUUUCUGGACCCUUGGCACAAGUACAGGUAAGCUUGCUUAAUGUUCGAUAUGAACCCAGACAGCACAGGCACGCGGUGUGUUUUUAUACAGUCUGUGGGCAGCUGAAGAGAUGGCUCAUUUUCAAAUAAUGUUACCGUUAACUUGUUUAGACAACGGUCACGGUAAAUUAAUAUUAAAGCCUUUCGUGUCCAGCAGUUUCUCGGAGGGAAAAUGUAAAAGCGGUUUAUUAAAGAGAAGUCCUGACUGCUUUAUCGUCGUGUUUUUCACUCUUUUACAGGCUGCCAGAAAGAAUCUACUAUAUUCUACUAUAUUAAUCUUACUAUAGUGAGUGAUUAUUGAAUGAGGCUGUACAUUAUAAAUGUAAUGUUUUAACUCUAGAUGUUUGUUUGUGUGAAUGCUGUGUGUGCGGUGAGUUCUGCGCGAGGAGCAGAGUUGCCAUGGAAACGGGGCGUCAACACAAAAACCGUUACUGGCAAGCAGUAAUCUCCGUCUCUCGCUGCGGUUUACGCUGUUUUAGGUGGACAGAAAGAAACUAUACAGAACAAAGUGAAACUCCAAGAUUUUUGAAAAGAAAAUUGGUGAAAUAUAUUCUGAAAAAGGCAUAUUAAUGUAUUUCAUGAGCUUCUUCAGUAAAUCUGUAUUUCUAAGUCAGUAUCUCCCUUCAGAAAUGUGGCUGAAGGGAGAUACUGACUUAGAAAUACAGGUGAACUCAUGAAAAGAAGCUCAUGAAAGAAGCUCAUGAAAUACAUUAAUAUGCCUUUUUCAGAAUAUAUUUCGCCAAAUUUAAGAAGUCCCUGACAUCAAAACAUGGCUUGUUUUGUUCCUGGACUCUUCAGUGAUGAUGAGCAGAGUCUGAGUGAACCUGCUGUCAGACAAUCACUAUUGCACACCAAAUGCUCUUACUCAGCAGAUGGGGAACAGCUACCAUCACCCAAUUUUCACCCAAAAGUGGCUGCGCUAUUCGCCAGACUGGGCAGGAGGGACUGGACGACAACUUAUGCAGGCAUCAGAUGACAAUGAAAUGUAAAUAAAGAGUAGAGAAGCUAAUAAACAUGAAUUUGAUUUUAAA